RNAcentral lists this ribosomal RNA (496 nucleotides) under uncultured bacterium. RNAcentral's name for it is "partial 16S ribosomal RNA". It matches the Rfam family "Bacterial small subunit ribosomal RNA", at positions 29 to 507 of the family's 1533-position model. The record is from RNAcentral.
AUGAACGCUGGCGGCGUGCCUAAUACAUGCAAGUCGAGCGAACGGACGAGAAGCUUGCUUUUCUGAUGUUAGCGGCGGACGGGUGAGUAACACGUGGAUAACCUACCUAUAAGACUGGGAUAACUUCGGGAAACCGGAGCUAAUACCGGAUAAUAUUUUGAACCGCAUGGUUCAAAAGUGAAAGACGGUCUUGCUGUCACUUAUAGAUGGAUCCGCGCUGCAUUAGCUAGUUGGUAAGGUAACGGCUUACCAAGGCAACGAUGCAUAGCCGACCUGAGGGGGUGAUCGGCCACACUGGAACUGAGACACGGUCCAGACUCCUACGGGAGGCAGCAGUAGGGAAUCUUCCGCAAUGGGCGAAAGCCUGACGGAGCAACGCCGCGUGAGUGAUGAAGGUCUUCGGAUCGUAAAACUCUGUUAUUAGGGAAGAACAUAUGUGUAAGUAACUGUGCACAUCUUGACGGUACCUAAUCAGAAAGCCACGGCUAACUACGUG